GAUGGGCAUGGUGGCGCAUGCCUGUAAAUCCCAGUGGCUCAGGAGGCUAAGACAGGAGGAUCGUGAGUCUCAGUAGCGGUGAGGUACUAAGCAACUCAAUGAGACCCUGUCUUUA
RNAcentral lists this small RNA (115 nucleotides) under Marmota monax (woodchuck). The record is from RNAcentral. Lineage: Eukaryota; Metazoa; Chordata; Mammalia; Rodentia; Sciuridae.